Molecule: ribosomal RNA, 271 nt
Filed under: uncultured prokaryote
Description: partial 16S ribosomal RNA
Rfam family: Bacterial small subunit ribosomal RNA
Source: RNAcentral
CACGUAGGAGGCAAACGUUAUCCGGAUUUACUGGGCGUAAAGCGCGUGUAGGUGGUUCUGUAAGUAGGGCGUGAAAGCUCCCGGCUCAACUGGGAGAUGCCGUUCUAAACUGCAGAGCUUGAGGAUGGUAGAGGGAGGUGGAAUUCCAGGUGUAGCGGUGGAAUGCGCAGAUAUCUGGAGGAACACCAGUGGCGAAGGCGGCCUCCUGGACCAUUUCUGACACUCAGACGCGAAAGCUAGGGUAGCAAACGGGAUUAGAUACCCCUGUAGU